CUGAAGAAUUCCAAGCUCAAAACCUUUCACCCCCGAAGAAUUCCAAAAUUCCAAGCUCAAAACCCUUUACCCCUAAAGAAUUCCAAGCUCAAAACCUUUAACCCCUGAAGAAUUCCAAGCUCAAAACCCUUUACCGCUGAAGAAUUCCAAACUCAAACCCUUUACCUCUGAAGAAUUCCAAGCUCAAAGCCUUUUACCCCUGAAGAAUUCCAAGCUCAAAACCCUUUACCCCUGAAGAAUUCCAAGCUCUGGAAAAUUUCAAUCUCAAACCUCUUUACCCCUGAAGAAUUCCAAGCUCAAAACCCUUUACCCCUGAAGAAUUCCAAGUGCAAAACCCUUCACCCCUGAAGAAUUCCAAGCUCAAAACCCUUUACCCCUGAAGAAUUCCAAGCGCAAAACACUUUACCCCUGAAGAAUUCCAAGUUCAAAACCCUUUACCCCUGAAGAAUUCCAGGGAUCCUCGACAGGGGGGUACGGAUAUUAAAUGGAAUAGCCCAAUAUAUGUUGUCUGUAUGUGUACAGUCUUGCAGAUAACCAUUAAUAUAGCAAAGAAAGAAUAUUAAGAAACAACCAAAUAUAUCAGUAUCACUCACUCACCAUUCAGUAAUGCGCGAAUCAAAUCGAAACCUUGACAUCCCCCCCCCGGGCAUACCCCCGGGAAUUUGGAUUUUGACGUUUUGGUCAGG
Molecule: non-coding RNA, 686 nt
Organism: Paramuricea clavata
Lineage: Eukaryota; Metazoa; Cnidaria; Anthozoa; Malacalcyonacea; Plexauridae
Source: the annotation of a GenBank genome assembly